CCUACGGGCGGCAGCAGUGAGGAAUAUUGGUCAAUGGGCGGAAGCCUGAACCAGCCAAGUAGCGUGCAGGAUGACGGCCCUACGGGUUGUCAACUGCUUUUAUACGGGAAUAACGCGCCUUACGUGUAGGGCUUUGCAUGUACCUUAUGAAUAAGGACCGGCUAAUUCCGUGCCAGCAGCCGCGGUAAUACGGAAGGUAGGGGCGUUAUCCGGAUUUAUUGGGUUUAAAGGGAGCGUAGUCCGCGUGUCAAGCGUGCGGUAAAAUGUCCGGGCUCAAACCGGACCUGGCAGCGCGAACGGGCGUGCUUGGGUCCGCGGAAAGCAGGCGGAAUUGGUGGUGUAGCGGUGAAAUGCUUAGAUAUGACGAAGAACCCCGAUUGCGAAGGCAGCUUGCUGCAGCGGAACUGACGCUGAUGCUCGAAAGCGCGGGUAUCGAACAGGAUUAGAUACCCCUGUAGU
RNAcentral lists this ribosomal RNA (459 nucleotides) under uncultured bacterium. RNAcentral's name for it is "partial 16S ribosomal RNA". It matches the Rfam family "Bacterial small subunit ribosomal RNA", at positions 338 to 794 of the family's 1533-position model. The record is from RNAcentral.